Molecule: ribosomal RNA, 299 nt
Filed under: uncultured bacterium
Lineage: Bacteria
Description: partial 16S ribosomal RNA
Rfam family: Bacterial small subunit ribosomal RNA (bases 47-292)
Source: RNAcentral
CCCGGGGGAAGGUUUACCGGACCCGGGGCGGACGCGGCCUAGUGGCGGACGGGUGAGUAACGCGUGGGCAAUCUGCCCCGUACCGGGGGAUAACACCUAGAAACAGGUGCUAACACCGCAUGACAGGCGGCGGCGCAUGCCCCGGCCUUGAAAACUCCGGUGGUACGGGAUGAGCCCGCGUCCGAUUAGCCAGUUGGCGGGGUAACGGCCCACCAAAGCGACGAUCGGUAGCCGGCCUGAGGGGGUGGACGGCCACAUUGGGACUGAGACACGGCCCAAACUCCUACGGAAGGCAGCAG